CUCUCAGGCACGCACAGUGCCCCUAUGAUCUCCCUCAGUUGUGAAACACAAAUAGUUGAGUCACUGUGGGAUAGUAACUGGACUAGAAGGUAUUUCUUGAGGGACUUCCUCCCACAGAAACCUGAAAUAGUUUUUACACCGGUUAAUACAACAGCAGGAGCUCAGUGUGUGGUCCGUGCUGGCUUUACAGUGUGGGGAAAUUUCCAUCGUCCUGCGUAGACUUUAGAACAAUAUUGGUUUAAAAGAGCGUGUAGCGUAUAGCCGGGUGUUCAACAUAGCCGGGGAGGCCUCCAGCCCACCCAUCGCCGACACACACGGGCCCAGUGCAGGCCUUCAUUUUAGCAAUGGGGUCCAAAGUCUGAAGGAUCAGCAAGUACAGUCAGGCACGUACAACCUUAUUAUCAACCUCAUUUCAUAACACGUAGACCACGUUAUUAUGGAGCGCCGGAGCGGGGCUUCCCAAACUGGGCGCCGGACCCCCCAAGUGUUCCCAGGAUUAAUCACAGAGUCACGGUGCCACGACAUGCCCGACGCUGCAGGAGGAUUACGUGAAAACUACACGUCUAUAAUGGCGAUUCUGUGCAACCUGCAGGCCAGUUUGAAUCAGAGAAAGACAAGUGCACAGUGGGCACAAAGACACCUUGCAGUCCGGAUAAUGACCAUUGCAGGCCUCCAGCAGCAGCAGCAGCAGCAGCAGAGGACAAACCUCCACUCCCUAUCCUUCGAAUUGCCUUUUUAAACAGCUACAUCUGGAUAUUAUCUGGACGGUAACAGCUGUAAUAAACAUUGACAAACUCAUCAGAAACUCCCCAAUUAACUGUGAUCGUCCACGAGAGCGCCUUUUGGUCACUGAAAAUAUUUGUUUUGUUCCCGUCCUCUCG
This is a long non-coding RNA of Gasterosteus aculeatus aculeatus (three-spined stickleback), 881 nucleotides long. The record is from Ensembl. NCBI's taxonomy places the organism in Eukaryota, Metazoa, Chordata, Actinopteri, Perciformes, Gasterosteidae.